GUGGGUUAAGAGCAGUAACCUUAUGGCUAUACGACUCUUUCCUAAAACAGUUCCAGUCAAAGAGUUGUUGGUACUUGACUUCGACGAUUCAUUCAUCAAGGUGUAAUUUAAGUGUUUUAAGUUUGUUCAUAAAGAGCGAAAACCUGUGUUCGAGUGAAAGGUUAGUAGGUUAGGGUUUACACACAGUGAAAGUAUAGCCUACCGAUUCUUUUCAUCUAGAUGGUUUCAGGCAAGAAGUGUUAGAAAAGUUACUGCAUAGAUAACUUGCUUGUAGCUUAUUCAGUGUCCAUAGUAACGUUGCUUUGUGAUUCUUUGAUGUCGGAUAUUCUUAUCAUUGCAAAGUAAAAUCCGCUAGAUGUUGGAUUGUGACUUCAACGGAUUUUGACCGAUAUGAUGCUAGUCCUUUGCUCGCUUUGCCUUACUG
RNAcentral lists this non-coding RNA (424 nucleotides) under Dictyocaulus viviparus (bovine lungworm). RNAcentral describes it as "Eukaryotic large subunit ribosomal RNA". It matches the Rfam family "Eukaryotic large subunit ribosomal RNA", at positions 2539 to 2939 of the family's 3401-position model. Lineage: Eukaryota; Metazoa; Nematoda; Chromadorea; Rhabditida; Metastrongylidae. The record is from Rfam by way of RNAcentral.